UUAUUUUAGGUUAAUUGAAAUUUCGAAUUUUUAAGAUUAUUUAAUAAUGGUAAUAGUAAUCAAUAUAAAAUUUAUAAAUUAGGUAAUUUUAUUUUUAGAUGGUUAAUGUUUAAUUUUUAAUUUAAUGUUUUCAUUAAUUUGAUUUUAGAAAUUUUUUUUUAAUUAAUUAAAUUUGUGCCAGCAAUUGCGGUUAUACAAAUAAUUAAAUUGAUUAUUAUUUAAUUGUAAUAAGGAAUUUUUUUUUAUUCUAAAAUGAUAAAAUUAAGUGAAAUUUUUUUGUUAUAAUUGAUUAAUAUUUUUUUUUUGGAUUAUUAAAAUUUAUUUUUAAACUAGAAUUAGAUACUCUAUUAUUUUUAUUGUAAUUAUUAUUAAGUUAGUAUUAGUUAUUUUCUUUAAAAUUAAAUUUUUUGGCGGUAUUUUAGUCUUUUCAGAGGAACUUGUCCAGUAAUUGAUAGUCCACGUUUAAAUUUACUUUUAUUUUUUUUAAAUAUCGUUGUUUAAGAAUUUUUUAUAAGAAUUAGAAAUUUCUUUAUUUUUUUUAUAAUUUAUUUCAGAUCAAGAUUUAGAUGUAUAAAAGUUGAGAUGAGUUACAAUAAAUUUAUUUAUGGUUUUAAUUUUUUAUAAGAUUAAAUAAAUUGGAUUUGAUAGUAAUUUAUAAAUUUUAUUAUUUUUGAUUUAAGCUCUAAAAUAUGUACAUAUUGCCCGUCACUUUCAUUAAUAUGAAAAAAGUCGUAACAUAGUAGAUGUACUGGAAAGUGUAUCUAGAAAAU
This 770-nucleotide non-coding RNA is filed under the name Phrixothrix hirtus. The record is from RNAcentral. Lineage: Eukaryota; Metazoa; Arthropoda; Insecta; Coleoptera; Phengodidae.